UACGUAGGGUGCGAGCGUUAUCCGGAAUUAUUGGGCGUAAAGAGCUCGUAGGCGGUUUGUCGCGUCUGCCGUGAAAGUCCGGGGGCUCAACUCCGGAUCUGCGGUGGGUACGGGCAGACUAGAGUGAUGUAGGGGGAGACUGGAAUUCCUGGUGUAGCGGUGAAAUGCGCAGAUAUCAGGAGGAACACCGAUGGCGAAGGCAGGUCUCUGGGCAUUAACUGACGCUGAGGAGCGAAAGCAUGGGGAGCGAACAGG
This 255-nucleotide ribosomal RNA is filed under the name uncultured bacterium. RNAcentral's name for it is "partial 16S ribosomal RNA". It matches the Rfam family "Bacterial small subunit ribosomal RNA", at positions 524 to 776 of the family's 1533-position model. The record is from RNAcentral.